RNAcentral lists this unclassified non-coding RNA (240 nucleotides) under soil metagenome. RNAcentral describes it as "partial contains 5.8S ribosomal RNA, internal transcribed spacer 2, and large subunit ribosomal RNA". The record is from RNAcentral.
AACAUCGCGCACCUGCGGGAACCUGCGGAGGGAUCAUUAAUUACGCCCUGCCUUAUUGCUAGGCAUGGGAUUCUUCAACCUAAGCCACCAUGGUGAACUAAAACAUAACUUGCUUCCCGUGACCGGUCUCUCCGUAAAAAGGGAGAUUGGAAUACUCGGGCAACCAAACCCCUGCAAACUUUGUUUGUAAAAAAACCUGUUUAAAUUGAAAAAUUGUCUGAACAGAAAUUUCUAUAAAAU